RNAcentral lists this ribosomal RNA (253 nucleotides) under uncultured bacterium. RNAcentral's name for it is "partial 16S ribosomal RNA". It matches the Rfam family "Bacterial small subunit ribosomal RNA", at positions 524 to 776 of the family's 1533-position model. The record is from RNAcentral.
UACAGGGGGUGCAAACGUUGCUCGGAAUUAUUGGGCGUAAAGCGCGCGUAGGCGGUGACUCAAGUCGGAUGUGAAAGCCCUUGGCUUAACCGAGGAAGUGCAUCCGAAACUGAGUCGCUAGAGUACGAUAGAGGGUCGCGGAAUUCCCGGUGUAGAGGUGAAAUUCGUAGAUAUCGGGAGGAACACCGGUGGCGAAGGCGGCGACCUGGGUCGAUACUGACGCUGAGGCGCGAAAGCGUGGGGAGCGAACAGG